This 253-nucleotide ribosomal RNA is filed under the name uncultured bacterium. RNAcentral's name for it is "partial 16S ribosomal RNA". It matches the Rfam family "Bacterial small subunit ribosomal RNA", at positions 524 to 776 of the family's 1533-position model. The record is from RNAcentral.
UACAGAGGGGGCAAGCGUUGUUCGGAAUUACUGGGCGUAAAGGGCGCGUAGGCGGCCUUCUAAGUCGAACGUGAAAUCCCCGGGCUCAACCCGGGAACUGCGUCCGAUACUGGAAGGCUUGAAUCCGGGAGAGGGAUGCGGAAUUCCAGGUGUAGCGGUGAAAUGCGUAGAUAUCUGGAGGAACACCGGUGGCGAAGGCGGCUCUCUGGGGUAUUUCUGACGCUGAGGCACGAAAGCCAGGGGAGCGAACGGG